UUCUAGCUACACAAGCACAAGUAUAUAAAGAAAGUAAAUACAAGCUCGUGUAUAGCGAAUGCAAACCACCGAGAAGAGUAGACAAUGUUGACACAGUGAUUUUUACCGAGGUUCACUUGGUUGCCACCAAGCUACGUCCUCGUUGUGGCGAUACACCCACUUGAUGGAUCACGAGCUAAUUGGCAUUCCAAAGCCAAACCCUCAGCGGGUGCCGCACAUCCACUCUCAAGAUGGGGAUCCUCCAAGCCACAAGCAAUCCACUAGAGUUGCUCUUCGCGAUCCCUGCGGGGUGAGCACCGUACCCCUCACAAUCUCUUCUCCGGAGCACCACACAAUCUCCUUGCGUGCUUCGACGGAGUCACAAGCCACCAAGCCGUCUAGGAGGUGGCAACCUCCAAGAGUAACAAGCACCACCGGCUUGCAACACGAACACCUAGUGCCACUCGAUGCAAUCUCUCAAUGCAACGCACUAGAAUCGCUCACUCACACAAUCGGAUGAUCACUAUCAAGCAUAUGUGAGUUAGUGGCUUUACUAGCACUCCCCAAGCAUGGACACUAAGUCCCAAGGGUGCUCAGCACUUGCCAAGGCCGGCCACAACUUCUAUUUAUAGCCCCAAGGGCUAAACUAGUCGUUACCCUUCACUGCGCAAAAGUCGACCACACCGAACGCGUCCUAGUUCACACCGGACGCGUCCGGUAUUGACCAGACCAGCGUCCGGUGCUCUUGACCGUUAGAAAACUAGCCGUUGCCUCUGACACUAACAGGGCACCGGACUCUAGCUUUUGAAAUACCGGACGCGUCCGGUGUCACACCGGACGCGUCCGGUGUGCACCGGACCCAAACUCAGGGAACGUCGCAAACUUGAGCCAACACCGGUCGCCACACCGGACGCACACACCAGACGGUCCGGUGUGCACCGGACUCACACCUAGAGAGCUCUGCAGGAAGAGUUUGCACCGGACGCCAACUCGGACGCGUCCUAGUUCACACCGAACACGUCCGGUGUGCACCGGACGCAAACUCAGAGAGUUUCACCGAGAAACGAACUCACCGAACGAGGCACACCGGACUCUAUGUGAAAACUGUUUCCGCGUCCGGUGCCUCAACUCGGACGUGUCUGACCUCAUACCGGACGCGUCCGACCUGAACGCGCGCCACGAAACGAGCUCCAACUCCUUCCCUUGCUUCCAUGUGCCAACACCAAAGUGUCUCCACACUUGUGCACGUGUGUUAGCAUUUUCACAAACAUUUUUCCAAGGGAGUUAGUCUCUCAACUUGCCACGCCACUCAAUCCUAACACGUAUACAAAGUUAGAUUGCUCAAGUGGCACUAGAUGACCGAUAUGCAAACAAGUUUGCCCCUCUUGAUAGUACGACCAUCUAUCCUAAAUCCGGUCAUAAACUUCUCUACACACCUAUGACCGGUGAAAUGGAAAUGCCCUAGGUUAUACCUUUGCCUUGCGCUUUCCAUUUCAUCUCCUCCAAUGUUGAUGCAACACAUGCACCAACCAAUCACCAAAUGAUAUGAUCCACUUCAUAUCAUCACGUGACCAUAUUGGUUCAUCGAUCUUGACCUCACUUGCUCUUCACCGUUGCCUCGGUCCAUCGGCGCCAAGUCUUGCUCAAGCUUCACCGUCACACGCGGUCCCUCACUUCGAAGCCUCCGACUUGCCCUUCACUCUUGCAACCGAUCCAUCAAGCCAAGCCUCAUCUUGAUCUUCUCCACCUUGGUCACAUGACUCCAUGUCAUGUCUCAUGUGCAAUGAGCUCCUCCAUCAUCAUAUAAUCACCUGUGGACUAAUCUCCUGUGUAUCUCACAUAAACACUAUUAGUCCACCUAAGUUGUCACUCAAUUACCAAAACCAAACAAGGACCUUUCAGAGGUGAGGCCAAAUUUGCCGAUGAAGGUGUCAAAGAAAUCUUGCCAUUUGGCGUAGUUGGACUCGGUGAUGUUGAGCUCAACAGGGAUAUGAUGGCGGAUGUUGAUGGUUUGUAGAAUAGUGGCAGAGGGGGGCUGGACGAUGGAGUCACUGCCAUUGGAGGAUUGGGAGGAAUCAUCACCGGAGAGGUCACCGUUGAUCAGGGGGUUGACAUCAGCCAUGGUGGCAAGAGAUGGGCAGCGUAAGAGAGGAGGUGCUGAUCGACAAGGAAGCGAUCGCAGGGGAGGAAAACUAUAACCUAGAACACAGAUACUGUGUAGAGAUUAG
Molecule: long non-coding RNA, 2207 nt
Filed under: Sorghum bicolor (sorghum)
Lineage: Eukaryota; Viridiplantae; Streptophyta; Magnoliopsida; Poales; Poaceae
Description: long non-coding RNA (SBIC_LNC009788)
Source: RNAcentral